Molecule: ribosomal RNA, 492 nt
Filed under: uncultured bacterium
Lineage: Bacteria
Description: bacterial SSU rRNA
Rfam family: Bacterial small subunit ribosomal RNA
Source: RNAcentral
CCUGGCUCAGGAUGAACGCUGGCGGCGUGCCUAAUACAUGCAAGUCGAGCGAGAAUCUGAUGAUUGGAGAUUCGUCAAAGAGAUUCAGAGGAAAGCGGCGGACGGGUGAGUAACGCGUAGGCAACCUGCCCUUAGCAGAGGGAUAGCCAUUGGAAACGAUGAUUAAAACCUCAUAAUGCUGUUGAAACACAUGUUUCGGCAGCCAAAGAUUUAUCGGCUAAGGAUGGGCCUGCGUCUGAUUAACUAGUUGGUGGGGUAACGGCUCACCAAGGUGACGAUCAGUAGCCGACCUGAGAGGGUGAUCGGCCACAUUGGAACUGAGACACGGUCCAAACUUCUACGGAAGGCAGCAGUAAGGAAUCUUGCACAAUGGGGGAAACCCUGAUGCAGCAACGCCGCGUGAACGAUGAAGGCCUUAGGGUUGUAAAGUUCUGAUCUGUGGGAAGAAGAAGUGACGGUACCACAGGAGAAAGCCCCGGCUAAAUACGUGCC